Molecule: ribosomal RNA, 497 nt
Filed under: uncultured bacterium
Lineage: Bacteria
Description: partial 16S ribosomal RNA
Rfam family: Bacterial small subunit ribosomal RNA
Source: RNAcentral
GAUGAACGCUGGCGGCGUGCCUAAUACAUGCAAGUCGAGCGAACGGACGAGAAGCUUGCUUCUCUGAUGUUAGCGGCGGACGGGUGAGUAACACGUGGAUAACCUACCUAUAAGACUGGGAUAACUUCGGGAAACCGGAGCUAAUACCGGAUGAUAUUUUGAACCGCAUGGUUCAAAAGUGAAAGACGGUCUUGCUGUCACUUAUAGAUGGAUCCGCGCUGCAUUAGCUAGUUGGUAAGGUAAUGGCUUACCAUGGCAACGAUGCAUAGCCGACCUGAGAGGGUGAUCGGCCACACUGGAACUGAGACACGGUCCAGACUCCUACGGGAGGCAGCAGUAGGGAAUCUUCCGCAAUGGGCGAAAGCCUGACGGAGCAACGCCGCGUGAGUGAUGAAGGUCUUCGGAUCGUAAAACUCUGUUAUUAGGGAAGAACAUAUGUGUAAGUAACUGUGCACAUCUUGACGGUACCUAAUCAGAAAGCCACGGCUAACUACGUG